RNAcentral lists this ribosomal RNA (468 nucleotides) under uncultured bacterium. RNAcentral's name for it is "partial 16S ribosomal RNA". It matches the Rfam family "Bacterial small subunit ribosomal RNA", at positions 28 to 507 of the family's 1533-position model. The record is from RNAcentral.
GACGAACGCUGGCGGCGUGCUUAACACAUGCAAGUCGAACGGAAAGGCCCUGCUUUUGUGGGGUGCUCGAGUGGCGAACGGGUGGGUAACACGUGAGUAACCUGCCCUUGACUUUGGGAUAACUUCAGGAAACUGGGGCUAAUACCGGAUAGGAGCUCCUGCUGCAUGGAGGGGGUUGGAAAGUUUCGGCGGUUGGGGAUGGACUCGCGGCUUAUCAGCUUGUUGGUGGGGUAGUGGCUUACCAAGGCUUUGACGGGUAGCCGGCCUGAGAGGGUGACCGGCCACAUUGGGACUGAGAUACGGCCCAGACUCCUACGGGAGGCAGCAGUGGGGAAUAUUGCACAAUGGGCGGAAGCCUGAUGCAGCAACGCCGCGUGCGGGAUGACGGCCUUCGGGUUGUAAACCGCUUUCGCCUGUGACGAAGCGUGAGUGACGGUAAUGGGUAAAGAAGCACCGGCUAACUACGUG